RNAcentral lists this ribosomal RNA (465 nucleotides) under uncultured bacterium. Its description in RNAcentral is "partial 16S ribosomal RNA". It matches the Rfam family "Bacterial small subunit ribosomal RNA", at positions 29 to 507 of the family's 1533-position model. The record is from RNAcentral.
ACGAACGCUGGCGGCGCGCCUAACACCUGCAAGUCGAACGAGCGAGAGAGAGCUUGCUUUCUCGAGCGAGUGGCAAACGGGUGAGUAACGCGUGAGGAACCUGCCUCAAAGAGGGGGACAACAGUUGGAAACGACUGCUAAUACCGCAUAAGCCCACGGCUCGGCAUCGAGCAGGGGGAAAAGGAGCAAUCCGCUUUGAGAUGGCCUCGCGUCCGAUUAGCUAGUUGGUGGGGUAACGGCCCACCAAGGCGACGAUCGGUAGCCGGACUGAGAGGUUGAACGGCCACAUUGGGACUGAGACACGGCCCAGACUCCUACGGGAGGCAGCAGUGGGGAAUAUUGCACAAUGGGGGAAACCCUGAUGCAGCGACGCCGCGUGGAGGAAGAAGGUCUUCGGAUUGUAAACUCCUGUUGUUGGGGAAGAUAAUGACGGUACCCAACAAGGAAGUGACGGCUAACUACGUG